GGAAUAUUGCACAAUGGACGAAAGCCUGACCCAGCAACGCCGCGUGGGCGAUGAAGGCCUUCGGGUCGUAAAGCCCUUUUGUGGGGGAAGAUGAUGACGGUACCCCACGAAUAAGCCACGGCUAACUACGUGCCAGCAGCCGCGGUAAUACGUAGGUGGCAAGCGUUGUCCGGAAUUAUUGGGCGUAAAGCGCGCGCAGGCGGUUCUUUAAGUCUGAUGUGAAAGCCCACGGCUCAACCGUGGAGGGUCAUUGGAAACUGGAGAACUUGAGUACAGAAGAGGAAAGCGGAAUUCCACGUGUAGCGGUGAAAUGCGUAGAGAUGUGGAGGAACACCAGUGGCGAAGGCGGCUUUCUGGUCUGUAACUGACGCUGAGGCGCGAAAGCGUGGGGAGCAAAC
RNAcentral lists this ribosomal RNA (398 nucleotides) under uncultured bacterium. RNAcentral describes it as "bacterial SSU rRNA". It matches the Rfam family "Bacterial small subunit ribosomal RNA", at positions 358 to 773 of the family's 1533-position model. The record is from RNAcentral.